AGAGUUUGAUCCUGGCUCAGGACGAACGCUGGCGGCAUGCCUAAUACAUGCAAGUCGUGCGCAGGAAACAAAUUGAAAUCUUCGGAUGGACGUUUGUGGAAUGAGCGGCGGAUGGGUGAGUAACACGUGGGCAACCUGCCUGUAAGAUCGGGAUAACUCCGGGAAACCGGUGCUAAUACCGAAUAAUUCUAUUCAUCACCUGGUGGAUAGGUAAAAGAUGGCUCUUUGAGCGAUCACUUACAGAUGGGCCCGUGGCGCAUUAGCUAGUUGGUGGGAUAAAAGCUUACCAAGGCGACGAUGCGUAGCCGACCUGAGAGGGUGAUCGGCCACACUGGGACUGAGACACGGCCCAGACUCCUACGGGAGGCAGCAGUAGGGAAUCUUCCGCAAUGGACGCAAGUCUGACGGAGCAAUGCCGCGUGAGUGAUGAAGGUCUUCGGAUUGUAAAACUCUGUUGUUAGGGAAGAACAAGUACCGUUCAAAUAGGGCGGUACCUUGACGGUACCUAACCAGAAAGCCACGGCUAACUACGUGCCAGCAGCCGCGGUAAUACGUAGGUGGCAAGCGUUGUCCGGAAUUAUUGGGCGUAAAGCGCGCGCAGGCGGCCUUUUAAGUCUGAUGUGAAAGCCCACGGCUUAACCGUGGAAGGUCAUUGGAAACUGGAAGGCUUGAGUACAGAAGAGGAAAGCGGAAUUCCACGUGUAGCGGUGAAAUGCGUAGAGAUGUGGAGGAACACCAGUGGCGAAGGCGGCUUUCUGGUCUGUAACUGACGCUGAGGCGCGAAAGCGUGGGUAGCGAACAGGAUUAGAUACCCUGGUAGUCCACGCCGUAAACGAUGAGUGCUAAGUGUUAGAGGGUUUCCGCCCUUUAGUGCUGCAGUUAACGCAUUAAGCACUCCGCCUGGGGGAGUACGGCCGCAAGGCUGAAACUCAAAGGAAUUGACGGGGGGCCCGCACAAGCGG
RNAcentral lists this ribosomal RNA (962 nucleotides) under uncultured bacterium. Its description in RNAcentral is "bacterial SSU rRNA". It matches the Rfam family "Bacterial small subunit ribosomal RNA", at positions 8 to 932 of the family's 1533-position model. The record is from RNAcentral.